Transfer RNA from Fomitopsis pinicola, 104 nucleotides. It matches the Rfam family "tRNA". From Rfam's summary of the family: Transfer RNA (tRNA) molecules are approximately 80 nucleotides in length. Their secondary structure includes four short double-helical elements and three loops (D, anti-codon, and T loops). The record is from Rfam. NCBI's taxonomy places the organism in Eukaryota, Fungi, Basidiomycota, Agaricomycetes, Polyporales, Fomitopsidaceae.
GGCCGGCUAGCUCAGUUGGUUAGAGCGUGGUGCUAAUAGGCGGCUUACGUAAUACGUGAGUCACUGUUACGCCAAGGUCGUCGGUUCGAUCCCGGCGUUGGCCA